UGAGUUUCAUUACAUACAUCUGAGGUGAU
This 29-nucleotide non-coding RNA is filed under the name Mus musculus (house mouse). The record is from RNAcentral. Lineage: Eukaryota; Metazoa; Chordata; Mammalia; Rodentia; Muridae.